This is a long non-coding RNA of Oncorhynchus tshawytscha (Chinook salmon), 464 nucleotides long. Lineage: Eukaryota; Metazoa; Chordata; Actinopteri; Salmoniformes; Salmonidae. The record is from Ensembl.
AAACCGGCGGGUUAGGACGUCAACAACAGCCAACAAAUUAUUAGAAAUGAAGACCAUUUGUGAAAUGAAGAUUUUCAGGUUCCUGGCCACAUAUGUUCUCAUGUAUUUUCGAACGGACUUUCUCUGACUGUUGACCGCGGAAAACCGUGAACGAGGUUAUCAGAGAGCUGCGAUAAGAGAGGAAAACGGAGAGGAAGAGAAGCAGCCCGACGCGGUGUGAAGGAAUGGAAUAAACCCCAGAGCAGAACCAGAGGAAGGAGGGAUGACUGCCGUGAGAUGAAAGAGGGAUAGAGCAGGACACAGAACAACUCGAGAGACCAUUCAGCUGUGAAGAGACAGAAGAAGCCAGAAGAUCACACAAACACCCAAAGUUGUAUCACGUUGGCUGGAUGUCCCAGCAGCGUUGUAGUUCUUGACACAAACUGGUGCACCUGGCCCCUACUUACCAUACCCCGUUCAAAGGU